CCUACGGGUGGCUGCAGUGGGGAAUUUUCCGCAAUGGGCGAAAGCCUGACGGAGCAAUACCGCGUGAGGGAUGACGGCCUAUGGGUUGUAAACCUCUUUUUUCAGGGAGGAAAAAAAUGACGUUACCUGAAGAAUAAGCAUCGGCUAACUCCGUGCCAGCAGCCGCGGUAAGACGGGGGAUGCAAGUGUUAUCCGGAAUCACUGGGCGUAAAGCGUCUGUAGGUGGUUUAAUAAGUCAACUGUUAAAUCUUGAGGCUCAACCUCAAAACCGCAGUCGAAACUAUUAGACUAGAGUAUAGUAGGGGUAAAGGGAAUUUCCAGUGGAGCGGUGAAAUGCGUAGAGAUUGGAAAGAACACCGAUGGCGAAGGCACUUUACUGGGCUAUUACUAACACUGAGAGACGAAAGCUAGGGUAGCAAAUGGGAUUAGAUACCCCGGUAGUC
Molecule: ribosomal RNA, 443 nt
Filed under: uncultured bacterium
Lineage: Bacteria
Description: bacterial SSU rRNA
Rfam family: Bacterial small subunit ribosomal RNA
Source: RNAcentral